AGCAGUAGGGAAUCUUCGGCAAUGGACGAAAGUCUGACCGAGCAACGCCGCGUGAGUGAAGAAGGUUUUCGGAUCGUAAAACUCUGUUGGUAGAGAAGAACGUUGGUGAGAGUGGAAAGCUCAUCAAGUGACGGUAACUACCCAGAAAGGGACGGCUAACUACGUGCCGG
RNAcentral lists this ribosomal RNA (170 nucleotides) under uncultured bacterium. RNAcentral describes it as "partial 16S rRNA". It matches the Rfam family "Bacterial small subunit ribosomal RNA", at positions 350 to 511 of the family's 1533-position model. The record is from RNAcentral.